UAUGAACUGGGCCUAACAACUAAACUAAGCUCUCUGGUAGCACCGUUAGGCCCUCGGCGACUGAACCGUCGUAGCGAGCCGUUCCUUGCGGCUAGGUGCCAAUGAUUCUCCUCCCCACCGUAUGAGGAAACUGCUGAUCCGGCGGCGGAGUUAAACUCGCCGGAAGAUGUAUUCGGAGAAUAACUGAACACAGAGGACCGGAGCCGUGGGCCAUGCAAACCGUUGGUACUAUUCCAUUACUACACAGCCUACAGGAGCUACUCAUAUAAAGCAUUAAACUUUGGCAAAAAAGAGGCUCAAAAACAAAGCAAGCAGGAGACCAGUCGUUGGUCCAAAAAACAAAAAUACCCAUUUGCUGAUUUUGAGUUCCCCUCCCUUUGCUUUUUCAGCAUUCUCGAGGUUAGUCCUAAAGUUUGCAACUUUUCCUUUACUUAAAAAAACCCAAAACAUACAUUUUUUUUGAAAUAUUGUAAGAUAGUGAAAUCUUGAAUGUUGUUGAUGGAGAUUGUUUUGGUUUUUGAAUUUAAAUUAAUAAUAAUCUUAUUCCCAUGAGGGUUUUUUUGAUGUGACCAAUCAGAUCUUUGAUGUGGUCGGAGGG
This 598-nucleotide long non-coding RNA is filed under the name Arabidopsis thaliana (thale cress). RNAcentral's name for it is "potential natural antisense gene, locus overlaps with AT1G69588 (AT1G69587)". The record is from RNAcentral. Lineage: Eukaryota; Viridiplantae; Streptophyta; Magnoliopsida; Brassicales; Brassicaceae.